RNAcentral lists this transfer RNA (66 nucleotides) under Haematoloechus sp. CW13H. RNAcentral's name for it is "tRNA-Gly". Lineage: Eukaryota; Metazoa; Platyhelminthes; Trematoda; Plagiorchiida; Haematoloechidae. The record is from RNAcentral.
GCGUUGAUAGUAUAUUAAGUAUGUUGUCUUUCCAAGUCAGAGGUCCUGUUUAAUUAGGUUAGCGUA